GUGUUAGUGUUGCAGGACAGUGCCACCAUGCCCCGCCUGGAUGUCCUUUCGUUCUCAAUCUAGUGCUCCAUUAUUGUCAACUGAGUCACUGUGGCUGAUGGAGAUCUGAAUUACAGAAUCGGAUGACUCUGCACCCCCUGAAGAAAGGAGAGAGACACCCUUCCCCAGGGUCUACCUGGGUAAUUGAUGGAGCAACGAAAGAUCCAAAAAGCCUGAAAAAGUCUCACAUUCUCUCAUCUGAGGCUCCCAGCUCCCAAUCUUCAGAUUUCCCUCAGGUAGGAGCUGCAUAGUAUUGGGAUACAAACAGAUAUGUUGACUAAUGGAAUCCAACUGAAGAACCAGACAUAAAUCUGCACACAUGUGGACACAAAAAGCCAGAAAGACACAAUGGAAAGAAGAAAGCAUCACCAACAAAUGGUGCUGGUCUGACUGGAUGUCAGCAUGUAGAAGAAUACAAAUAAAUCCAUACUUGUCACCCUGCACAAAACUCAAAAGUUCAAGUGGAUCAAAGACCUCAACAUAAAUCCAGAUACACUGUACCUGAUAGAAGAGAAAGCAGGCAAUAGCUUUGAACGCAUUAGCACAGAGAUGACUUUCUGAACCAAAUACCAGUAGUGCAGACACUAAAAUCAAUAAUCAAUAAAUGGGACCUCAUGAAACUGAAAAGUUUCUUGAAGGCAAAGAACACCAUCAUUAGGACAAAAUGGCAGCCUACAAAAUGGAAAAAAUAGAUAUUUACCAACUCCACAUCCAAUAGAGGACUGAUAUCCAAAAUAUAUAAAGAAUGAAAGAUGCUAGAUAUCAAAAAAUAAAAUAAUCUAAUUUAAAAAUUGGGUACAGAAGCUGGGUAGUGGUAGCCUUUAAUCCUAGAACUUGGGAAGCAGAGAUAGGUGGAUCUCAGUGAGUCUGAAGCCAGCCUAAUCAAGUUCCAGGACAGCCACGGCUACACAGAGAAAACCCUGUCUAUAUAGAUCUAAACAGAGAAUUCACAACAGAGGAAUCUCAAAUGGCUAAAAAUCAAAGAAAUGUUCAACAAAUUAAAUACAAAUUAAAACUUAACACCUGUCAGAAUGACUAAGAUCAAUAGCACGAGUGACAGCUCAUGCUGUGAGGAUGUGGAGCAAGAGGAACACUCCUCCACUGCUGGUGGGAGUGCAGACUUGUACAGCCACAAUGGAAAUCAAUAUGGUGGUUCUUCAGAAAAUUGGGAAUGAUCUACCAUCAAGACCCAGCUAUAGACCUGAACAAGGGGGAGCUCAUGGACCCCAGACUGAUAGCUGGGAAACCAGCAUAGGACUGUUCCAGACCCCCUGAACAUGAAGGACAUGAAAUUUGAAGACAGAUGAAUGGAACUAGAAAUGCCCAGCCUGAGUGAACUAACCCAGACCCAUAAAGACAAAUAUGAGUCCCAUGUAUCCCUAAGGGUCUGGCCUCAAGCUUGCUAUAUGGCUAAGAAUGACUUCUGCUUGUCCCACCUCCAUCUCCUAAAUUCUGAGAUUACAGGCCUGGGAAAAGUUCACAGUGAUCUACUUAGGUUAUCUGAUGAACCCAAACAUGGAUUAUAAAGAAACCAAUCUGGGCAGCAGCUCCUGGAGAAG
RNAcentral lists this long non-coding RNA (1598 nucleotides) under Cricetulus griseus (Chinese hamster). RNAcentral describes it as "lncRNA (ENSCGRG00015037715.1)". The record is from RNAcentral. Lineage: Eukaryota; Metazoa; Chordata; Mammalia; Rodentia; Cricetidae.